RNAcentral lists this non-coding RNA (119 nucleotides) under chicken gut metagenome. RNAcentral's name for it is "yjdF RNA". It matches the Rfam family "azaaromatic riboswitch aptamer (yjdF RNA)", at positions 5 to 92 of the family's 101-position model. The record is from RNAcentral.
GCAAAGAUAAAAACGCAACGUGCGCCGCAAGGCGUGCCAGAGCCGGUAGGUAGCCCGGCCGUCCCGGCUUUGCCGGGGUAAGUAACCCUCCCCUCCGGGUCGUCCGUUCUUUGUUCGUA